AAUCUGUUUCCAAUAAACAUUGAUUUUUAAUUAAAAUCGAUAGCAACAUCAAACAAAAAAACUUCGUCAGCCGGAGAAAAGAUCGGUUCGAUUAUCGAUUCAGAUAACAAGGAACUUGCAUUUCGGGCGGCCGGUUCGAGGUCCAAAUAGGCCCGUCGCCUGCAUCCGCUGUUUGCUUCCGUGACUAUUAAUCAAUUUCUCGCUUCUUUCAAAUAAUUUAUGACGAUAACACAUCCGUGCAUUUUACGAAGAAACCUGAUUCAACUUUGGAUGAGUAUAAUCUAUGAUGUUUUGAAGAACUCGAGCUCGACCAAUCGGCCCCCAGAAAUCGGAUCCCGACUUCAUUUCAAGCCCCUGAUUCUUAAGUAAACUUAAGAUUAGGCUACACAGAACAACAAGGAGGGAGACCAUACUUUCAACUAAGUGAAGCGUAACAAUUUUUGAAUAACAACAUGGGAAAUUCCGUACGAUAAAAAUUCUACAAUCAUUCAAUCCACACAAGACCCAGAGAAUUUUGCAUUGGCGACAGGGGCAUUAAAUCUAAUAAUAAAAAUCUGCAGCAUCAAACGGAACUCGAGUGAAAGAACAAACUGGGCCGUUUAAAAAUGGUAAAAUGACGGCGGAAAAAUAACGCUGAAACCACUGGCUGCCAUGGCAACCUUUGAACUCACGUGUAUUGAGGCAUGACGUUGGCGUUUCCUUGGUUACUGUCGGCUGGAUAGUAUACUCGUCUGCAUGGAAAAACAAAAAAAAGAAAAUCGAAAACAAAAUGGUAAAUAUAUUGAAGGAUCAGAAUGUUGCGUAGACAUUUAACACAAACAGUCGUCGUGAUUCAGCUCUCUUUUCAACAUCAUCUUGCGCACAGUUCAAAUGCUCACAUAGUUCAGCAUUUUUGCUGGCUAAGCGCAUGUUUCUCUCCGUAACAUAGGACGCUCAUAAGCCAGUCGCAGUAGUGGCAGUAAGGGUUUUCAAUGACUCGUGUGUUAUUCGAUCAGAAUACCAGUAGGAAAUCCGAUCACACUUUUUCCACUGUUUAUCAGAACUGAUAGGAGGAGGAAAUCGGGACCAAGAAACCCAAACAAGAAAGGCCGAAUGAAUAAGCACAAGGUCUACCAUGCAAACGGUGAAGGGUAAAGGAAUAGUAUAUACCGUGUAAAGGUUUCCGUCUUGCAAUGGGUGCGCUCUUCGUGGCUGGUCUCCACUUGCCGAUCAACAAAACUAUACAAGUGCGGUGCAGCAAACCCAAAGUGAUUUUUUUUUUUGGUUAAUGCACCGAUACAGAUCGGCAGAGCGCGCACACACAUAGAAACACACCGGCAGUUGCGUCCAAGCAGGGGUAAAGCAGAAGCCCAUUAAAGGUUUUUGUUUUUUUACGUGUACAGCCGUUUAUGGUAGAUUGCGAGAGAUGGAGAAAACGAUUGAAAAAAAAAAAAUAAAAAAAAAAAUAAAAAAAAUAAAU
Molecule: long non-coding RNA, 1459 nt
Organism: Daphnia magna
Lineage: Eukaryota; Metazoa; Arthropoda; Branchiopoda; Diplostraca; Daphniidae
Exons: 2
Source: RefSeq, a predicted model, not a curated record